RNAcentral lists this ribosomal RNA (207 nucleotides) under uncultured bacterium. RNAcentral describes it as "partial 16S ribosomal RNA". It matches the Rfam family "Bacterial small subunit ribosomal RNA", at positions 568 to 774 of the family's 1533-position model. The record is from RNAcentral.
CGCGUAGGCGGCCUUCUAAGUCAGACGUGAAAUCCCCGGGCUCAACCCGGGAACUGCGUCUGAUACUGGAAGGCUUGAAUCCGGGAGAGGGAUGUGGAAUUCCAGGUGUAGCGGUGAAAUGCGUAGAUAUCUGGAGGAACACCGGUGGCGAAGGCGGCAUCCUGGACCGGUAUUGACGCUGAGGCGCGAAAGCCAGGGGAGCAAACG